This 265-nucleotide ribosomal RNA is filed under the name uncultured archaeon. RNAcentral describes it as "partial 16S ribosomal RNA". It matches the Rfam family "Archaeal small subunit ribosomal RNA", at positions 718 to 982 of the family's 1478-position model. The record is from RNAcentral.
AGUCACUGACAUUAGAUACCCCCGUAGUCCAGGGUGUAAACGCUGCAGACUUGGUGUUGGAGGCCCUUUGGGGGCAUUCAGUGCCGGAGAGAAGUUGUUAAGUCUGCUACUUGGGGAGUACGUCCGCAAGGAUGAAACUUAAAGGAAUUGGCGGGGGAGCACCACAACGGGUGGAGCCUGCGGUUUAAUUGGACUCAACGCCGGAAAUCUCACCGGAUAGGACAGACAUAUGAUAGUCGGGCUGAAGACUCUACUUGAUGAUCUG